CUCAGGACGAACGCUGGCGGCAUGCCUAAUACAUGCAAGUCGAGCGAACAGACGAAGUGCUUGCACUUCUGACGUUAGCGGCGAACGGGUGAGUAACACGUAAGGAAUCUACCUAUAAGCGGGGGAUAACAUUCGGAAACGGGUGCUAAUACCGCAUAAUAUCUUCUUCCGCAUGGAAGAAGAUUGAAAGACGGCUCUGCUGUCACUUAUAGAUGACCUUGCGGUGCAUUAGUUAGUUGGUGGGGUAAAGGCCUACCAAGACGAUGAUGCAUAGCCGACCUGAGAGGGUGAUCGGCCACAUUGGGACUGAGACACGGCCCAAACUCCUACGGGAGGCAGCAGUAGGGAAUCUUCCGCAAUGGGCGAAAGCCUGACGG
RNAcentral lists this ribosomal RNA (377 nucleotides) under uncultured Aerococcus sp. Its description in RNAcentral is "bacterial SSU rRNA". It matches the Rfam family "Bacterial small subunit ribosomal RNA", at positions 23 to 389 of the family's 1533-position model. Lineage: Bacteria; Bacillati; Bacillota; Bacilli; Lactobacillales; Aerococcaceae. The record is from RNAcentral.